CAGGAUGAACGCUGGCGGUCUGCUUAACACAUGCAAGUCGAACGAAUCCCUUCGGGGAUGAGUGGCGGACGGGUGAGUAGCGCGUGAGAAUCUGCCUUCAGGUUCGGGACAACCACUGGAAACGGUGGCUAAUACCGAAUGUGCCGCAACGUGAAAGAUUUAUCGCCUGAAGAUGAGCUCGCGUCCGAUUAGCUAGUUGGUGAGGUAAAAGCUCACCAAGACGACGAUCGGUAGCUGGUCUGAGAGGAUGACCAGCCACACUGGGACUGAGACACGGCCCAGACUCCUACGGGAGGCAGCAGUGGGGAAUUUUCCGCAAUGGGCGCAAGCCUGACGGAGCAAGACCGCGUGAGGGAGGAAGGCCCAAGCGGUUGUAAACCUCUUUUCUCAGGGAAGAAGAAAGUGACGGUACCUGAGGAAUCAGCCUCGGCUAACUCCGUGCCAGCAGCCGCGGUAAUACGGAGGAGGCAAGCGUUAUCCGGAAUUAUUGGGCGUAAAGCGUCCGUAGGUGGUUAUGUAAGUCUGCUGUCAAAGCACAGGGCUUAACCCUGUAAAGGCAGUGGAAACUACAAGACUCGAGUGCGGUAGGGGCAGAGGGAAUUC
Molecule: ribosomal RNA, 603 nt
Filed under: uncultured bacterium
Lineage: Bacteria
Description: bacterial SSU rRNA
Rfam family: Bacterial small subunit ribosomal RNA
Source: RNAcentral